GAAGAGUUUGAUCAUGGCUCAGAUUGAACGCUGGCGGCAGGCCUAACACAUGCAAGUCGAACGGUAACAGGAAGCAGCUUGCUGCUUUGCUGACGAGUGGCGGACGGGUGAGUAAUGUCUGGGAAACUGCCUGAUGGAGGGGGAUAACUACUGGAAACGGUGGCUAAUACCGCAUAACGUCGCAAGACCAAAGAGGGGGACCUUCGGGCCUCUUGCCAUCAGAUGUGCCCAGAUGGGAUUAGCUUGUUGGUGAGGUAACGGCUCACCAAGGCGACGAUCCCUAGCUGGUCUGAGAGGAUGACCAGCCACACUGGAACUGAGACACGGUCCAGACUCCUACGGGAGGCAGCAGUGGGGAAUAUUGCACAAUGGGCGCAAGCCUGAUGCAGCCAUGCCGCGUGUAUGAAGAAGGCCUUCGGGUUGUAAAGUACUUUCAGCGGGGAGGAAGGUGUUGUGGUUAAUAACCGCAGCAAUUGACGUUACCCGCAGAAGAAGCACCGGCUAACUCCGUGCCAGCAGCCGCGGUAAUACGGAGGGUGCAAGCGUUAAUCGGAAUUACUGGGCGUAAAGCGCACGCAGGCGGUCUGUCAAGUCGGAUGUGAAAUCCCCGGGCUCAACCUGGGAACUGCAUUCGAAACUGGCAGGCUUGAGUCUUGUAGAGGGGGGUAGAAUUCCAGGUGUAGCGGUGAAAUGCGUAGAGAUCUGGAGGAAUACCGGUGGCGAAGGCGGCCCCCUGGACAAAGACUGACGCUCAGGUGCGAAAGCGUGGGGAGCAAACAGGAUUAGAUACCCUGGUAGUCCACGCCGUAAACGAUGUCUACUUGGAGGUUGUGCCCUUGAGGCGUGGCUUCCGGAGCUAACGCGUUAAGUAGACCGCCUGGGGAGUACGGCCGCAAGGUUAAAACUCAAAUGAAUUGACGGGGGCCCGCACAAGCGGUGGAGCAUGUGGUUUAAUUCGAUGCAACGCGAAGAACCUUACCUGGUCUUGACAUCCACGGAAGUUUUCAGAGAUGAGAAUGUGCCUUCGGGAACCGUGAGACAGGUGCUGCAUGGCUGUCGUCAGCUCGUGUUGUGAAAUGUUGGGUUAAGUCCCGCAACGAGCGCAACCCUUAUCCUUUGUUGCCAGCGGUCCGG
This 1134-nucleotide ribosomal RNA is filed under the name Salmonella enterica subsp. enterica serovar Oranienburg. Its description in RNAcentral is "bacterial SSU rRNA". It matches the Rfam family "Bacterial small subunit ribosomal RNA", at positions 1 to 1134 of the family's 1533-position model. The record is from RNAcentral. Lineage: Bacteria; Pseudomonadati; Pseudomonadota; Gammaproteobacteria; Enterobacterales; Enterobacteriaceae.